Molecule: long non-coding RNA, 753 nt
Filed under: Heterocephalus glaber (naked mole-rat)
Lineage: Eukaryota; Metazoa; Chordata; Mammalia; Rodentia; Bathyergidae
Description: lncRNA (ENSHGLG00000026583.2)
Source: RNAcentral
ACGGGGCAGUCAUGGUUUGGGAGCCAGGCGUGGUGGCACACAGCUAUAAACCCAGCUAUUUGGGAGGCUGAGGGUCAGAAGUGACUUUCUUCUCAGUAGUGACUUGGUUUGGAAUGUGCCCCUGGCUCCCUGGCAGCUUGGGCAGCAGAGGGCACGUUUGGCCGGUGAGCUAGAUGGACCAGGAUGCCUGUGGCUCUGUCCCCUGGGCGGCCACCCCAGCUGCCAUGCGCCCGCCCCUUGCUCUGUGACCUGUGCCCUUCCUCUGCCUGCGUGUGGACCAGCGUGUGGACCAGUGGCUGAGCCUGAGAGGGAGCACCUGGUGGAGGGACCCGCCCCUGCCGUCUUGACAGAGGACACAGCCACACUCUGCCAGCCCUGCCACUGCCGGCGGCCACUCCCUCACAGCCCAGCCUGGUCCUUGGCAGCCUCACCCCUUCUCAAGCCUUGUCUUAGCCAGCAGCCACCUCCCCUUCCAGCCCCCCAACCCCCAUGAUCCUUUAAAGGACCCCAGAGCCCCGAGGAGAGCAUCCCGUUUGGUCUCAGCGCCACAGCAGCCCACUCAGGUUUGUUCUGAAAUAAACCUGUCCUGUCGAGCUUGUGCCUUUCUUCUCCUUUCUUCCUAACUGGGAUGGCAGAGCCCGGAGUCCCUGCUAGACACAUGGAACCAGCCUGUGAUCAAGGACAUCCACCCCUUGGGGACCCCCAGCCUGCAGCUUCUGGUGACACGAUAAAGCCCCUGAGCUGGUUUUGGGG